GUGCCAGCCGCCGCGGUAAGACAGAGGGUGCAAACGUUGCUCGGAAUUACUGGGCGUAAAGCGCGUGUAGGCGGAUUGGUGUGUCGGAUGUGAAAUCCCCAGGCUCAACCUGGGAACUGCACCCGAAACUACCAGUCUUGAGUGGUGGAGAGGGAAGUGGAAUUCCUGGUGUAGAGGUGAAAUUCGUAGAUAUCAGGAGGAACACCAGUGGCGAAGGCGGCUUCCUGGACACCAACUGACGCUGAGACGCGAAAGCGUGGGGAGCAAACAGGAUUAGAAACCCCUGUAGUCC
This 292-nucleotide ribosomal RNA is filed under the name uncultured bacterium. RNAcentral describes it as "partial 16S ribosomal RNA". It matches the Rfam family "Bacterial small subunit ribosomal RNA", at positions 505 to 796 of the family's 1533-position model. The record is from RNAcentral.